RNAcentral lists this ribosomal RNA (253 nucleotides) under uncultured bacterium. RNAcentral describes it as "partial 16S ribosomal RNA". It matches the Rfam family "Bacterial small subunit ribosomal RNA", at positions 524 to 776 of the family's 1533-position model. The record is from RNAcentral.
GACGUAGGGCGCGAGCGUUGUCCGGAUUUAUUGGGCGUAAAGAGCUCGUAGGCGGCUUGUCGCGUCGACCGUGAAAACUUGGGGCUCAACCCCAAGCCUGCGGUCGAUACGGGCAGGCUAGAGUUCGGUAGGGGAGACUGGAAUUCCUGGUGUAGCGGUGAAAUGCGCAGAUAUCAGGAGGAACACCGGUGGCGAAGGCGGCCCUCUGGACGGAUACUGACGCUGAGGCGCGAAAGCGUGGGGAUCAAACAGG